Non-coding RNA from Triticum aestivum (bread wheat), 115 nucleotides. NCBI's taxonomy places the organism in Eukaryota, Viridiplantae, Streptophyta, Magnoliopsida, Poales, Poaceae. The record is from Rfam.
GAAUUACUCCCUUCGUUCGGAAUUACUUGUCGCAGAAAUGGAUGUAUUUAGACGUAUUCUAGUUCUAGAUACACCCAUUUCCAAGACAAGUAAUUCCGAACGGAGGGAGUACUAG